GGACUACUGGGGUAUCUAAUCCCGUUUGCUCCCCUGGCUUUCGCGCCUCAGCGUCAGAAGAGGUCCAGCGUGCCGCUUUCGCCACCGGCGUUCCUUCCGAUAUCUACGCAUUUCACCGCUCCACCGGAAGUUCCACACGCCCCUACCUCCCUCGAGACAACCGGUUUCGGCAGCCCUUCUCCCGUUGAGCGGGAGGAUUUCACUACCGACCUUGUUGCCCGCCUACGCGCCCUUUAAGCCCAGUGAAUCCGAACAACGUUUGCACGGUUCGUCUUACCGCGGCUGCUGGCAC
Molecule: ribosomal RNA, 292 nt
Filed under: uncultured Planctomycetota bacterium
Lineage: Bacteria; Pseudomonadati; Planctomycetota
Description: uncultured planctomycete partial 16S ribosomal RNA
Source: RNAcentral